RNAcentral lists this ribosomal RNA (1532 nucleotides) under metagenome. RNAcentral describes it as "bacterial LSU rRNA". It matches the Rfam family "Bacterial large subunit ribosomal RNA", at positions 1382 to 2903 of the family's 2925-position model. The record is from RNAcentral.
AGUCGGCCCCUAAGGCGAGGCAGAAAUGCGUAGUCGAUGGGAAACAGGUUAAUAUUCCUGUACCUCUUUGUAAUGCGAUGGGGGGACGGAGAAGGUUAGGUCAGCCGGGUGUUGGACGUCCCGGUUCAAGCGUGUAGUCGUGCCCUGUAGGCAAAUCCGCAGGGCUUAGAUGAGGCGUGAUAACGAGUGGCCUUGUGCCGCGAAGUGAUUGAUACCCUGCUUCCAAGAAAAGCCUCUAAGCUUCAGUUACAAAGAGACCGUACCGCAAACCGACACAGGUGGGCAGGAUGAGAAUUCUAAGGCGCUUGAGAGAACUCAGGAGAAGGAACUCGGCAAAUUAGCACCGUAACUUCGGGAGAAGGUGCGCCCUGGUAGCGUGAAAGCCCUCGCGGCUGGAGCGUGAAAGGGUUGCAGUGAAAUGGUGGCUGCGACUGUUUAAUAAAAACACAGCACUCUGCAAACACGAAAGUGGACGUAUAGGGUGUGACGCCUGCCCGGUGCCGGAAGGUUAAGUGAUGGGGUGCAAGCUCUUGAUCGAAGCCCCGGUAAACGGCGGCCGUAACGAUAACGGUCCUAAGGUAGCGAAAUUCCUUGUCGGGUAAGUUCCGACCUGCACGAAUGGCGUAACGAUGGCCACACUGUCUCCUCCUGAGACUCAGCGAAGUUGAAAUGUUUGUGAAGAUGCAAUCUCCCCGCGGCAAGACGGAAAGACCCCAUGAACCUUUACUGUAGCUUUGCAUUGGACUUUGAACCGGUCUGUGUAGGAUAGGUGGGAGGCUUUGAAGCUGGGACGCUAGUUCUGGUGGAGCCAACCUUGAAAUACCACCCUGGUUUGUUUGAGGUUCUAACCAUGGCCCGUGAAUCCGGGUCUGGGACCGUGCAUGGUAGGCAGUUUGACUGGGGCGGUCUCCUCCCAAAGUGUAACGGAGGAGUACGAAGGUACGCUAGGUACGGUCGGACAUCGUGCUAAUAGUGCAAUGGCAUAAGCGUGCUUGACUGCGAGACCCACAAGUCGAGCAGGUACGAAAGUAGGUCAUAGUGAUCCGGUGGUUCUGUAUGGAAGGGCCGUCGCUCAACGGAUAAAAGGUACUCUGGGGAUAACAGGCUGAUACCGCCCAAGAGUUCAUAUCGACGGCGGUGUUUGGCACCUCGAUGUCGGCUCAUCACAUCCUGGGGCUGUAGCCGGUCCCAAGGGUAUGGCUGUUCGCCAUUUAAAGUGGUACGUGAGCUGGGUUUAAAACGUCGUGAGACAGUUUGGUCCCUAUCUGCCGUGGGCGCUGGAAAUUUGGAGGGACCUGCUCCUAGUACGAGAGGACCGGAGUGGACGAACCUCUGGUGUACCGGUUAUGACGCCAGUCGUAUCGCCGGGUAGCUAAGUUCGGAAGAGAUAAACGCUGAAAGCAUCUAAGCGUGAAACUCGCCUUAAGAUAAGAUUUCCCUGGGGACUUGAUCCCCCUGAAGGGUCGUCGAAGACCACGACGUUGAUAGGCUGGGUGUGGAAGCGCAGCAAUGCGUUAAGCUAACCAGUACUA